UACAGAGGUCUCAAGCGUUGUUCGGAUUCUUUGGGCGUAAAGGGGGCGUAGGCGGCGCGGUAAGUCGGGUGUGAAAUCUCGGAGCUUAACUCCGAAACUGCAUUCGAUACUGCCGUGCUUGAGGACUGGAGAGGAGACUGGAAUUUACGGUGUAGCGGUGAAAUGCGUAGAUAUCAGGAAGAACACCCGUGGCGAAGGCGGCUCUCUGGAACGCAACUGACGCUGAGACGCGAAAGCGUGGGGAGCAAACAGG
RNAcentral lists this ribosomal RNA (253 nucleotides) under uncultured bacterium. Its description in RNAcentral is "partial 16S ribosomal RNA". It matches the Rfam family "Bacterial small subunit ribosomal RNA", at positions 524 to 776 of the family's 1533-position model. The record is from RNAcentral.